This 222-nucleotide ribosomal RNA is filed under the name uncultured bacterium. Its description in RNAcentral is "partial 16S ribosomal RNA". It matches the Rfam family "Bacterial small subunit ribosomal RNA", at positions 109 to 334 of the family's 1533-position model. The record is from RNAcentral.
AGUAAUACAUCGGAACAUACCCUAGGGUGGGGGAUAACGUAGCGAAAGUUACGCUAAUACCGCAUACGCACUAAGGUGGAAAGCAGGGGAUCGCAAGACCUUGCGCUCAUGGAGUGGCCGAUGUCAGAUUAGCUAGUUGGUGGGGUAAAGGCCUACCAAGGCAACGAUCUGUAGCUGGUCUGAGAGGACGACCAGCCACACUGGAACUGAGACACGGUCCAG